Molecule: long non-coding RNA, 1089 nt
Filed under: Bos indicus x Bos taurus (hybrid cattle)
Lineage: Eukaryota; Metazoa; Chordata; Mammalia; Artiodactyla; Bovidae
Description: lncRNA (ENSBIXG00000006820.1)
Source: RNAcentral
CAAUAACUGAAAUGAAAAACACACUAGAAGAAAUCAAUAUGAGACUCACUGAGCAGGAGAACAAAUAAGUGAGUUGGAAGACAGAAUGGUGGAAAUAACUGCUGAAGAGCAGAAUAAAGAAAAAAGAAUGAAAAAACGUAAUACCUAUUUCUGUCAUGACUGUCUUUCUGAGACACAUUCUCCACUAAGGGUAACCUGGGACUACCUAUCACCACAGUUUGUGGAUGCAUAAGAAAGACUGCACUGGAAGGAAAAAUAUAUAGCCUUCAAGCCCCUUUCUCAUCCUCCAGAGACCCUGCGGUUCCAGGACUCUACCUUAAUGGCAGGAAAACCGCAACCUGCAUUGCACAUGCCCAACUCAGUGAGCAUGCGCAGUGUGUGCGUGCACAUCCGUUGCUGCGCAUGCGCCUUGGUGCCCAUACGCCGUCCUGCGCGAUCUGUGAGGAGCGUUGGGCCUGAGACAGGUCUGUUUAUUCAGUCCCGGUUCUUUCUCACUACUUAAGACUCACCAGGGAGAAAUAUGAGUGGGCAAGUGGCAUCAGCAUUAGGACCUACAAAGCAAGAUUGCUCCCAGGUGGAUGAACCUGUGGUUCCCAGUGUUGAGCAACCUCAACAAGAGGAACCGCCAGCUGAGAUUCAGGAUAUCACACCUAGAAAGGAGGAAGUACAUGUAGAGGAUCCAGUGAAUCGUGAUGAAGAAGAGGAGAAGGAUCCCUUUUGAAGGUAAAGUGUAUCUGUGCCUCAUGCCUUAAGACAUAACCAGUAAGAAGAGGAAAGGAAACAUUAGAAAAGGACUUCAGACAGUUUCUAAAAAACUGAGGAGAGUAUAGUUUGCAGGUCAGUGUGGUCACUCAAAUUUUCCCUUGUUUUCAAGACAAAGAGAAGGGGGCAACCUAGUUGUCUGAGGACAACCCUGGAAAAGGAAAAUGGUAAUAACAUUCGCAAAUUCUGCUUUCCUUUUUCUCCAGCAAAACAUUCCUGGAAUAAUGCUCCUGAGGUUCUUAUUCAUCACAUUUUUAGCAUACUAACCUAAGGCUUUUAAUUCAUAACACCGAGGGAAUGAAUAUUAUCAUUCCCUUGUUUAUAUUG